Molecule: non-coding RNA, 996 nt
Organism: Elaeis guineensis (African oil palm)
Lineage: Eukaryota; Viridiplantae; Streptophyta; Magnoliopsida; Arecales; Arecaceae
Source: RefSeq, a predicted model, not a curated record
UGGAAUUCUUUUUCUUGACUUGUUUGCUUCGUCUUCGCCUCCUCUCCUUUGGGCCGAUCAAGCUUUUGUUUUGAUAAGUCCAGGAUAGCUCCCGGAGAUACAGAGUCCAAACUUUUAUAUAAAAAGAGGUUGUUAGGUCCGAGGUAGUGAGGAAGGAUCCACUCAACGAAGGUCUCAUUGCCGGCGGGCCGUGCAAUCAAUUUGCCAUUUAGAAGAGGACACUCUUUCCCGCGCUAAACCGGAAUUUUCCCAUAUGAAAACCCGGAGAUAAAAAAUAAAUAAAAAACAAAAGAAGAGGAGAAAAAAAGGAGAGAACAAGGAGAUUUUGGAAUUCGUCAAGCCGAGGCCCAUUAGGAUCCGAUUCGAGUCCCCGGCGGCAAAAUAACCGUCUGAUAGGCCGUCUCCGGCGCUUGCUCCCGGUCUCCCAGCCACGGAUCAGGAGGAUCGAGUGGGUAACUUCGUGCAUAUCUCCCCUCGCUCCGCUUUUCGAAAUCUCCAAGUUUUUGGGAUGAUAGAUUGAUUAAGUUUUGGAAAGGCAGCGGCUUGAAUUGAUGGGCGCUAGUUCGAUGGAUGCGGAGGCCGCGAGGCCUGCGCUUCUUCGAGUACGGAUGAUGGCGGUGGACCGAUGGAUGCGGAGGCUCAAUUCGGUCAUCUUCGCAAGGAAAUGGCCCUUGGUGAGAGCAUUGAGAGGCAAGCGAUGGCAAAUACUUUUUCUUGGUGAGAACAUGGAGGAAAGCAAGAAGUAUCUCUUGGCUAACAUGCCUAUGAUCGCCUGAGGAGUUGCAGAGGAACCAGGGAAGGCUGAGGUGAAGAAGGAUAAAGAAAAAAGGCAGGUCAUGUGAUGCCAAAUACUGAGGGCUGCUAAGCUAAGGUUGUGCAAUAAAGCAUAUAAACAAUUCUUCUUGCUGGAGGACAUGACCAAUGCUCAACAAUCUGCAGAUUCUAGAAGUAUGGAAUAUGUCUCCAACUGUCAUCAUUUUGGAUGGUUGUUGUUCU